AUGGCUGCCUCUGCCUUUGCUGGUGCGAUGAGAGCAGCUUCAGGAAUCUAUGGCUCCUGAAUAUUUUUGCAUCUCCAGCCCACCGAAACUGUGCCAGGAAUGCCUCUCUUAUUUCUGCAUUGUCUACUGGACGUUUUAGUCAUAUUCAGACACCAUUUGUUUCCUCCACUCCCAGGCUGAUCACAUCUGUCAGAAACCUGACAUGUGGGCAUACUGCAGUGAUCCCCAACAGAGUGGCCCCCUUGCUUCCAAGUGUCCUGAAGCUGCCAGUCAGAACUGUAAUAUACGUCAGUACACAAAAAGGCAAGAGAACAACUGUGAAAGCUGUUAUCUAUAGGUUUUUUCGACUUCAUUCUGGCCUUUGGGUGAGGAGAAAGGCUGGUUAUAAGAAAAAAUUCUGGAAAAAGACACCUGCAAGAAAAAAGCAAUUGAGGGAAUUUGUGUUCUGCAAUAAAACCCAGAGUAAACUCUUAGAUAAAAUGACAGUGUCCUUCUGGAAGAGGUGAAACUUGUAUGCUGAUAAUCCUUAUCAGAAAUAUCUUUAUGAAACAAACCUGAAAGUAUAG
Molecule: long non-coding RNA, 566 nt
Filed under: Homo sapiens (human)
Lineage: Eukaryota; Metazoa; Chordata; Mammalia; Primates; Hominidae
Description: non-protein coding lnc-FAM9C-5:1
Source: RNAcentral